RNAcentral lists this ribosomal RNA (455 nucleotides) under Escherichia coli. Its description in RNAcentral is "bacterial SSU rRNA". It matches the Rfam family "Bacterial small subunit ribosomal RNA", at positions 685 to 1140 of the family's 1533-position model. The record is from RNAcentral. Lineage: Bacteria; Pseudomonadati; Pseudomonadota; Gammaproteobacteria; Enterobacterales; Enterobacteriaceae.
AAUGCGUAGAGAUCUGGAGGAAUACCGGUGGCGAAGGCGGCCCCCUGGACGAAGACUGACGCUCAGGUGCGAAAGCGUGGGGAGCAAACAGGAUUAGAUACCCUGGUAGUCCACGCCGUAAACGAUGUCGACUUGGAGGUUGUGCCCUUGAGGCGUGGCUUCCGGAGCUAACGCGUUAAGUCGACCGCCUGGGGAGUACGGCCGCAAGGUUAAAACUCAAAUGAAUUGACGGGGGCCCGCACAAGCGGUGGAGCAUGUGGUUUAAUUCGAUGCAACGCGAAGAACCUUACCUGGUCUUGACAUCCACAGAACUUUCCAGAGAUGGAUUGGUGCCUUCGGGAACUGUGAGACAGGUGCUGCAUGGCUGUCGUCAGCUCGUGUUGUGAAAUGUUGGGUUAAGUCCCGCAACGAGCGCAACCCUUAUCCUUUGUUGCCAGCGGUCCGGCCGGGAACUC